CUCCAUCCCCCUUUUACUUCUCUCUCCCCCGUCUCUCCUCCCUCCCGCCUCCUUUCUCCCUCUCCCCCUCCCUCUCUCCUCUGAAUAAGCAAGCUUUUGCCUCUAAAAGUCACAAGUAAUCCUCGUGUGUGACAGAGAGAGAGAGAGAGAGAGAGAGAGAGAGAGAGAGAGAAACGAGCUGGCGGAGAGGAGCAGAAGGCAGGAGGGGAAAUCUGGCACAACGGCUGGGAGAGGAAACUUGAUGCUUCUGGGCCACCAUUUGCCAGGGCCUCGCUCGAGCCGGCGCCUCGGUUCCUGCCCAGCUGGAUUUGGGGGGCAGCAUUGCCUGGCGCAGGGAGAUCAAAUGAGACUGCAAAGAAGCAUAAAAUGAAUAGACAAUCCAACCAACCAAAGACCGGGGGCAGCAGCAGGCCAGCAAGACGGCAUCUUCUCCUUCCCAGCCUAGAAGCCCUGUGAAAUCGAGGAUCUUCCCCCUAAAACACAUACACACAAGAUAUGUGCAAUCAAGCUGCCACCGCUUGGUAAAAAGCCAUGGUGCCUAACCAAAAAGGAUCAGGAACAGAUCCUUGAAUCAGCUGUCACUUCUAUAGAAUGGGAUUUUUUUUUCCUUCCUCCUUAACCUGCGCUGGAAAUUGCCGUUGGCUUUAUACAUCUCUAUAGAGAGAGGCUAAAGAGUCUUGCGUGAGAAAGAAGCAAUUUACAAUGCAAAUAGAGGCCUGUGAAGGGACGGAUGCUGCUGCUCACUCGUAACAGCUUGCUGCACCUUAAUAGCUGGUUUUAUUUUCUGAUAUUAAUAGAUGAAUUGUUGGCUAACGCUGCCGGAGAUUACUUGCUGAAAGGAAAAAGAAAAGUUCGGAAUAAACUCUGAAGGCAACAGAUCUCGUUUGGAUGUUUUAGCCGCGCACACACACAAACAGAAACCAGGUCAUAUUUACAUAAAAGGAGGAAUCUUAAGCGCGGCAAGUAUCCUGGACGACCACUCUUCGGUACUGCCAGAAAGGAUCAGGACCUGGAGUCUGGCAAGAGGAAGACAGAGGCCUGUGUGGGAAGCGAGUUGUUAUCUUUGGUUAUCUAGCUGUAUGAGUGUAUUGGUCUUCAUAAAGCUAGAUAACCGAAAGUAAAAACUCCUUCAAGAUCGCCGGGGAGCGUGUGAGAAUGAAAGACUACAGCCGAGAGACAGUAAAAACCAGAAAGGUCAGGAAUACUUAUUGAAUCUAACUUUGUUUUUGUUUUGUUUUUUUCCUUAUGAUUAAAGGUGGGAUGAGAGAAAAUUAAAUGACACACACAUGCUAAAAUAUCAAGGUUCCAGAUAUGUCUUGAGAGGGGUUGUUGCAGCUGCAAAGGAGAAGUGUAUAGUGAUAAUGAGUAAAGAUGCAUGUGCAGUUUGUUCUAUUUUAAGGCAAAAGUUAUAUCAGGGAUUUUUUUCUUAGAAAGGUGUUGCAGAGAUGUCUGGUACCUAGUUUAAAAAUGAUUCCAUAAUAUGUAGACUUGGGCAGUUCCUUUGGGAGGCACCUCCCUCUCAAAAUUUGAAGAUUGUGCUUGGAAAUUACUUUACAUGUAUUUGGGCUGUAUGUCAAUUUGUACGAAAUUAGACUUUCAGAAAAGUUUAUACUGGAAGGUUAAUAAUUUGUAUCUACUGAGGACUUAGAGCUAGCAGGCAAAAUGAAAAAAAAAAAAAAAAAAGCAAGGGCUGAUUUUUAUUCUUCUAUUCAAAAUACAAGGACAGAUGCUUCUCUGUUCCAAGAGGGUUUCCUUGAGGAAGCUACUGAAGCAGAAAGACAUGAUGGAGACGAGAUCGCCUCCCCUCUUGUCAAAGUGUUAAAAAAAUGUUCUGUCUUACUCUGCGCCUAGCAUUGGAAAUGAAAGUGACAUUUACGCCACAACCCACGUGUGCGCCUCCUCUCUUUUUGUUUAAGGAUGAUCAGGUCUAUCCAGGAAACAGCUCUGGCAUCCCAAACUGAAAUAAUUAGGACGUAUAUAGACCUGACAAAAAUGGAAAGGGGGUGGGGAAUCUGAGGGUCUGUCUUGCCUAAUUGAUUCCGCUAAACGGAAUGCAGGAGAUGUGAACGGCAGGACGCUCCGAUUCCCACGCUCGGGGGCAAGUGAUAAAGCGGGGCCGGGCAGCCUAUGACAGACAGCCCUGUUGGGGGGUGGGGGUAUGAAAAAAACAUCAAGUGCACACACCAUACUCAUCUCCAUCGCUUAAGAAAGUAAAGGCAUUUCCCACCCACAGCCAUCUGCAGCUUCCCAAAUGGCAGCACCAACUGGUCUGUAGCUGCUACAUAGUCUGCUUCUGUUAAUUUUUUAACCACUGUUUAAUCUGGCCAUAAUUAAGUUUGGCUUUCUUCGUUGUUUGAGAUUUUCAGAAUUCAAGGCAAGCUAGUAGAAAGCAAUUCCAAGAAAGUCCCAUGACUGCCUGCCCCUAAUGUCAAAAUCUCAGUCCAUGAGAUUAUGGCCUUGUGACCACAUUUUUGCUUUUGUUUUGGGUGGGCAAAUGUGUAUAGAGAUAAAAUACAUAUCUCUAUAUAACAGUCGUUAUUAUAAUUUCAUGAGGCUUUUUACCUCUUAACAUGAUACAUCUAGGAACUUGGUCUAAUUGUGCUAGUAGAUAUACACUAGAAGUAAAACUAUAAAGUCAUUAGCCUGUAGAAAGUUGAUUAUGAUAACAAUAUGAUAAAAAGUUUGUUUUGGAAUAGUCUCAGCUAGAUGGGUCUAAAUAGCCAUUUUAAUGUAAUCUAAAAAUAACACUAUGCCUAGCAGAAACUUUGGCGCUUUGGAGGUCCCCAUUGUCGCCUUUUCAUAAAAGUCCUUAAGUUUUCCAUAUGUCACCAAGCAAACAUUUGUAUAGGCAUUUACACAGAAAUAUAACCAUUGCAAUUAGAAAAUAUCCAAAAUAGCCUGUUAUCUUCCACGUGGCCUAGAUUAUUGACAAUCCCAAAUAUACAAUUUUUCUUUAAAAGUAGUACAAUUUCCUUUGUAGCUUCAAUUCCUUAUAUGACUUCAGACUGGAGAAGCCUGUUAAACCACUGUUAGUUUCAGUUAGAAAGUCUGAGAGACUUUAUACAUAAAUUCUCAAUUUGGCUGCUGUACACGUGCCAGAGUUUUACUACUGUAGUGACCGUUGAGAAGACCCUUGUUUAUUUACAUUUGAAGCACUGUUUGUGCAAACAACCUUUCAUUGUUAAGUGCCUGUAUUCCUUUCAUUUACUUCAUGUCCAGGGGUGCUAUUUACCUAGAACCAUUGUCUACUACAAUUAACAUUUACAUUACAAAGUGUGUGGUUUUCUUUUUCAAGGAGGUUCAAUUAAGGCAAUAAGAUGUUUGCUGGAGAAACCUAUUGUUUACUGAAAGCACUCAAUGAAGUCAAAUUACUGAAGCUUUUGCCUACAUCUUGGUCUUUUAUGUAAAUAUGUUAAAUAUAACAUCUAAGGAAAAUAAACAAUAUUAUAAUUAUGUGUUUGCCAUUGUCAUAUCAAACUUGCUUUGUAUCAUACUAAUGUUACAUAACUUAUCGAUCAAUAAAAAUACAUUUCAAUGUU
This 3539-nucleotide long non-coding RNA is filed under the name Homo sapiens (human). RNAcentral describes it as "non-protein coding LINC00461:5". The stretch from base 1052 to 1127 matches the Rfam family "mir-9/mir-79 microRNA precursor family". The record is from RNAcentral. Lineage: Eukaryota; Metazoa; Chordata; Mammalia; Primates; Hominidae.